Molecule: ribosomal RNA, 490 nt
Filed under: uncultured microorganism
Description: bacterial SSU rRNA
Rfam family: Bacterial small subunit ribosomal RNA
Source: RNAcentral
GAGUUUGAUCAUGGCUCAGGAUGAACGCCGGCGGUGUGCCUAAUACAUGCAAGUCGUACGCACUGGCCCAACUGAUUGAUGGUGCUUGCACCUGAUUGACGAUGGAUCACCAGUGAGUGGCGGACGGGUGAGUAACACGUAGGUAACCUGCCCCGGAGCGGGGGAUAACAUUUGGAAACAGAUGCUAAUACCGCAUAACAACAAAGGCCACAUGGCUUUUGUUUGAAAGAUGGCUUUGGCCAUCACUCUGGGAUGGACCUGCGGUGCAUUAGCUAGUUGGUAAGGUAACGGCUUACCAAGGCGAUGAUGCAUAGCCGAGUUGAGAGACUGAUCGGCCACAAUGGAACUGAGACACGGUCCAUACUCCUACGGGAGGCAGCAGUAGGGAAUCUUCCACAAUGGGCGCAAGCCUGAUGGAGCAACACCGCGUGAGUGAAGAAGGGUUUCGGCUCGUAAAGCUCUGUUGUUGGAGAAGAACGCGCGUGAGAGU